Ictidomys tridecemlineatus (thirteen-lined ground squirrel) is the source of this 72-nucleotide non-coding RNA. NCBI's taxonomy places the organism in Eukaryota, Metazoa, Chordata, Mammalia, Rodentia, Sciuridae. The record is from Rfam.
GGGGAUGUGGCUCAGUGGUAAAGCAUAUGUCUAGUAUGCAAAAGGCCCUGGGUUCAAUCCCCAGCAUCCCCA